Molecule: ribosomal RNA, 497 nt
Filed under: uncultured bacterium
Lineage: Bacteria
Description: partial 16S ribosomal RNA
Rfam family: Bacterial small subunit ribosomal RNA
Source: RNAcentral
GAUGAACGCUGGCGGCGGGCCUAAUACAUGCAAGUCGAACGACCAGACGAGGAGCUUUCUCCUAUGAAGUUAGCGGCGGACGGGUGAGUAACACGUGGAUAACCUACCCAUAAGACGGAGAUAACUUCGGGAAACGGAUGCUAACACCGGAAAAUAAUUAGAACCGCAUGGUUCAAGGGUAAAAGGCGGUUGUGCUGUCACUUACAGGUGGAUCCGCGGCGCAUUAGCUAGGUGGUAGGGUAACGGCUUACGGAGGCAAAGAUGCGUAGACGGCCUGAGAGGGUGAGCGAGCACACUGGCACUGAGACAGGGACCAGACGCCGACGGGAGGCAGCAGCAGGGAAUCUUCCGAAAUGGGCGAAGUCGUGACGGAGCAACGCCGCGUGAGUGAUGAAGGUGCUCGGAUCGUAAAACUCUGUUUGUAUGGAAGAACAAAUGUGAUAGUAACGAUCCACGUAUUGACGGUACCUAAGCAGAAAGCCACGGCUAACUACGUG